AUCUUCCCAGGCCCACCAUUUUGAUCGAGUGCGGAGCAUUCGUCUUCUGGUACGGGGCCAUAGCUCAGCUGGGAGAGCGCGUGCUUUGCAAGCAUGAGGUCGUCGGUUCGAUCCCGUCUGGCUCCACCAGAUGGUUUGAUCACCAACGGCGUUACCGUCGUCCGCGAAACAUCACUUCGCACUCAUUGGUCCGGAUGGACGGUGACGUGCGUGUUUUCUGACAUCGUAAAGAGGAGAUCGAUCCGAGUUUGGAUCAAGCGAAGCAAUUCGCCUGAACCAUUCAUUAUCUCCGGGAUCAUUUCGGCGCUCGCGCAUCGCAGUUCAUCGCAAGAUGAGUGGGGUGAGCGGGUUGUAAAUGAUCUCUUUUAGCGAAGCUUGACCGCCUCGCUAUCGGGCCGAUCUUACGAAGCAAGCUGGUCUUUCUAGUCAAUGUCCGGCUGCGCAAUCGCAUUCAUCGAGGAUGCGUGCCUGGGACUUCGGUCUUCGGGCAGUUGCGCAGACAACAUUCUGCCGAGUGUGUGGACAUUGAUAAUGAGAGCAAUCAAGUGCCUUAAGGGUGUUCGGUGGAUGCCUUGGCGCUGAGAGGCGAUGAAGGACGUGCUACGCUGCGAUAAGCCGUGGGGAGCUGCGAAGAAGCUUUGAUCCGCGGAUUU
Molecule: unclassified non-coding RNA, 653 nt
Filed under: Bradyrhizobium sp. STM 3104
Lineage: Bacteria; Pseudomonadati; Pseudomonadota; Alphaproteobacteria; Hyphomicrobiales; Nitrobacteraceae
Description: partial 16S-23S ribosomal RNA intergenic spacer
Rfam family: Bacterial large subunit ribosomal RNA (bases 540-653)
Source: RNAcentral